AUCCAUUUGCAACUCUAUUUUUAAGUGACAUUUCACUUCAAACUAGAAAUUGCUUAUAACAUGCAUAAAUAACAACUACACUCUUGAAAUUUGAAACGUUUGGAAAGUUUUGGCAUUUUUUUUGUAUUAUAUGGCAAAAAGAAGAAAUUGACAUGCCGUGCCACGGACAGAUCGCGAACAUAUUUCCCGCGCCCGUGCUAGCAGGCGUCAGGGCUCAGGCCCAACUUCGUGACACUGGCCUCCGCAGACGGUCCACACUGAUACAUAUACAAAUGGAUAGGCUAUGCAUUGUGGCCCAUUGGGUCAAAAAAAUAAACAAGAGGGCACAUGAUUUGAUUGGGCUG
This 344-nucleotide long non-coding RNA is filed under the name Elaeis guineensis (African oil palm). Its description in RNAcentral is "long non-coding RNA (EGUI_LNC014976)". Lineage: Eukaryota; Viridiplantae; Streptophyta; Magnoliopsida; Arecales; Arecaceae. The record is from RNAcentral.